Molecule: small RNA, 547 nt
Filed under: Pongo abelii (Sumatran orangutan)
Lineage: Eukaryota; Metazoa; Chordata; Mammalia; Primates; Hominidae
Description: processed transcript
Source: RNAcentral
CCAGGAUGUGGCGUACAGCACGAAGACGCUGGCGGCGCGGGAGAUGGCGCUCCGGGCCUCCUUGGAGAUGUUGACACCGUCCGGGAGCUGCGAGGAGACCGGGGAGGACUAGAGUGCUGCAGGGUUGGCCUUUGGCCUAAACCAUUUUUAGCUAUGGACUUGCCAGAUGAGAGCCAGUGGGAUGAAACCACCUGUGGCUUGGCUGUUUGUCAGCACCCACAAUGCUGGGCAACUAUCCGCCGCAUUGAGAGGGGCCAUCCUCGAAUCCUUGGCUCAUCCUGCAAAACUCCCCUGGAUGCUGAAGAUAAACUCCCAGUGCUCACCGUGGUAGACAUCUCAGAUUCCUGCUUUGCACCUCGUCAUUUACCAGAAUGUACCUUUACUAAGGCCCAUUCUUUAUUGUCUCGGAGUUCAAAGUUUUACUCCAAAUUUCAUGGCAGGCCUCCGAAGGGUUUACCUGACAAAAGUUUGAUCCACUGUACUAAUAGACUUCCCAAACUUCCAGUGUUGAAUUUGAAUGAGACGCAACUUCCCUGCCCUGAAGAUG